This is a non-coding RNA of Candidatus Gottesmanbacteria bacterium, 76 nucleotides long. The record is from Rfam. NCBI's taxonomy places the organism in Bacteria, Candidatus Gottesmaniibacteriota.
GCCGCCAUCGUCUAGCCUGGUCAAGGACACGAGAUUUUCACUCUCGGAAUCGCGGGUUCAAAUCCCGCUGGCGGUA